GAAUCUCUGAGAAGGAGAACAUUCAGAUAAGUUUUAUACGGCGAAAUGCGAAUGGUCUUAAAACAGUAUACGUUAUUUGAUGGUAGUUUUUACUGGUAACUGGUAAUUGUAGAGUAAUACAUGCGCCAGACCCGACUUCACGAAGGGUGUGUUAUUAGAUACAGAACCACCCACUUUCUGGUGUUUUGGGGUUGAUGAAUACAUCCGAACGAAAUGCUUGGCGGCCAUUAACGAUUAAAGAUUCAGACUAUGACCUUUCCGACGGCCGGGGAUUGGCCUUCCGCGGAUCGGACGGUGACGGAGAACUAAGAAUUAAGGCCGGAGAGGGAGCAGGGAAAACGGCAACCGCAUAUAACGAAGGAAGAAGGCGCGCAGAUUACCCAAUACCGAAACAGGACGCAAGGAACAAGAAACAACAAAGCACGGCUCCAGGCAUAUGCAAUUUGGGAAGAGGAAAAGAUAAAAACCUUUACGAGUUUAAAAGGGCCGGCAGGAGGGGAGCCAGGAGGCCAGGAAACGCCGGAUUUAAAAGCGCUUUUAAAGUUUUUAAGGUUAAGAAGCUAAAAAGUUGGAUUUUUGGUUUUGGGCAACCCGGACCCACCUCUGGUCCCUGUGUUGGGAGUUUGGUGUGUGGGUUUUGUACGGAAGGUGGGUAUAGCUUUUCUUUCGAUUGGG
RNAcentral lists this ribosomal RNA (675 nucleotides) under Prorocentrum micans. Its description in RNAcentral is "SSU rRNA". It matches the Rfam family "Eukaryotic small subunit ribosomal RNA", at positions 55 to 740 of the family's 1831-position model. The record is from RNAcentral. Lineage: Eukaryota; Dinophyceae; Prorocentrales; Prorocentraceae.